UACGUAGGGUGCAAGCGUUGUCCGGAAUUAUUGGGCGUAAAGAGCUCGUGGGCGGUUUGUCGCGUCUGCUGUGGAAACCCGAGGCUCAACCUCGGGCCUGCAGUGGGUACGGGCAGACUAGAGUGCGGUAGGGGAGAUUGGAAUUCCUGGUGUAGCGGUGGAAUGCGCAGAUAUCAGGAGGAACACCAAUGGCGAAGGCAGAUCUCUGGGCCGUAACUGACGCUGAGGAGCGAAAGCAUGGGGAGCGAACAGG
Molecule: ribosomal RNA, 253 nt
Filed under: uncultured bacterium
Lineage: Bacteria
Description: partial 16S ribosomal RNA
Rfam family: Bacterial small subunit ribosomal RNA
Source: RNAcentral